This 74-nucleotide transfer RNA is filed under the name Candidatus Pacearchaeota archaeon. RNAcentral's name for it is "tRNA-Met". It matches the Rfam family "tRNA". From Rfam's summary of the family: Transfer RNA (tRNA) molecules are approximately 80 nucleotides in length. Lineage: Archaea; Nanobdellati. The record is from RNAcentral.
UGCGGGGUAGAACAGCUAGGUAGCUCGCUAGGCUCAUAACCUGGAGGUCACAGGUUCGAAUCCUGUCCCCGCUA